CGCGUUACUGGGCCGGGGCCUCGAUGGCCUCGGAGGUCAGCAGGCCCGCGUUGAUCUCGCGCAGCGCGA
This 69-nucleotide transfer RNA is filed under the name Streptomyces lavendulae subsp. lavendulae. RNAcentral's name for it is "tRNA-Pro". The record is from RNAcentral. Lineage: Bacteria; Bacillati; Actinomycetota; Actinomycetes; Kitasatosporales; Streptomycetaceae.